GACGAACGCUUUCUUCGUGCUUAACACAUGCAAGUCGAACGGAAAGGCCCUGCUUUUGUGGGGUGCUCGAGUGGCGAACGGGUGAGUAACACGUGAGUAACCUGCCCUUGACUUUGGGAUAACUUCAGGAAACUGGGGCUAAUACCGGAUAGGAGCUCCUGCAGCAUGGUGGGGGUUGGAAAGUUUCGGCGGUUGGGGAUGGACUCGCGGCUUAUCAGCUUGUUGGUGGGGUAGUGGCUUACCAAGGCUUUGACGGGUAGCCGGCCUGAGAGGGUGACCGGCCACAUUGGGACUGAGAUACGGCCCAGACUCCUACGGGAGGCAGCAGUGGGGAAUAUUGCACAAUGGGCGGAAGCCUGAUGCAGCAACGCCGCGUGCGGGAUGACGGCCUUCGGGUUGUAAACCGCUUUCGCCUGUGACGAAGCGUGAGUGACGGUAAUGGGUAAAGAAGCACCGGCUAACUACGUG
Molecule: ribosomal RNA, 468 nt
Filed under: uncultured bacterium
Lineage: Bacteria
Description: partial 16S ribosomal RNA
Rfam family: Bacterial small subunit ribosomal RNA
Source: RNAcentral